GACAGAGGGUGCAAACGUUGUUCGGAAUUACUGGGCGUAAAGCGUGCGCAGGCGGUUUUGUAAGCCAGAUGUGAAAUCCCCGGGCUCAACCUGGGAAUGGCAUUUGGGACUGCAAGGCUGGAGUACGGCAGAGGAGACUGGAAUUCCUGGUGUAGCAGUGAAAUGCGUAGAUAUCAGGAGGAAUACCGAUGGCGAAGGCAGGUCUCUGGGCUGAUACUGACGCUCAUGCACGAAAGCGUGGGGAGCAAACAGG
This 253-nucleotide ribosomal RNA is filed under the name uncultured bacterium. Its description in RNAcentral is "partial 16S ribosomal RNA". It matches the Rfam family "Bacterial small subunit ribosomal RNA", at positions 524 to 776 of the family's 1533-position model. The record is from RNAcentral.